UCAGUUGGGCGCGUCAUGUGGGGAGCCUUCUGGCUCGCCGGCUUCCUUGGGUGCCGGUCCGUCAACCCGCAUGGCGCGCCCUCUUUU
RNAcentral lists this non-coding RNA (87 nucleotides) under Geoalkalibacter subterraneus. The record is from RNAcentral. Lineage: Bacteria; Pseudomonadati; Thermodesulfobacteriota; Desulfuromonadia; Desulfuromonadales; Geoalkalibacteraceae.